This 755-nucleotide long non-coding RNA is filed under the name Carica papaya (papaya). RNAcentral's name for it is "long non-coding RNA (CPAP_LNC012789)". The record is from RNAcentral. Lineage: Eukaryota; Viridiplantae; Streptophyta; Magnoliopsida; Brassicales; Caricaceae.
AUAGCUGCUCAUUAUCAUACACCUAUAAUUUCCUUUUCAAAUUUCCUCUCUCCUCUCUUCCCUGCACGCUGUUGAGUAACUCAUCCCUUUCAUAGAUAUAGUUGUUAUCUACAUAAACAACAAACACUCUUUGGAGUAUCCUAUUGCAGGCCAAGCUAUAAUUCUAGGAGAUGAUGAACAAGCUUGAAACAGAGAACACAAUUAAGACAAAUAGCUUUCGAGGACACAUCUUAGACAAACAGCUUGCGAGGAAUGACAUAUUUUGCAAGUCACGAUUAACAACCAUUUUGUUUCCAUUAGCAAUGCUUAGUUAAAAGCACAACGACCAUUUGAAGGGACGAUGUCUUCCACAUCCAUGUUUAACACUUUUCAUGAUCACAAGUAGUAGCCAAGUACGUAAUUUCUUUUUCACAGUUCAUUCUCUUGUAUUUUUUUUCUUAAUUUUUACUAGAUAACUUUGCUCACUUGUGGUCUUUAUUUAAUUUUUUCUCCUUCAUAUAGCUAAAUUGCUAAGUAGACAACCUCCAAUUCUUCUUGAUUGGAGUCUAGGUUUUCUUUAGUUUUCACAAAGUUUUUUCCCUUAUAUUGGCACAAGCAACUAGAAUUUACUUAUGUAAUUCUUAUUUUAUAUUUUUUUUAAACUGAGAUAUUUUACGUAUUAUUUAUUUAUUAUAUAUUUUAUUUGUUUGCUAUUACUACUAUAAUAUUUGCUUCAUUUCACAUUAUAUACGUACAUAUGCAUGCACUUUGUUGGC